UACGUAGGGGGCGAGCGUUGUCCGGAAUUAUUGGGCGUAAAGGGCGUGUAGGCGGUUCGGUAAGUCUGCCGUGAAAACCUGGGGCUCAACCCCGGGCGUGCGGUGGAUACUGCCGGGCUAGAGGGUGGUAGAGGCGAGUGGAAUUCCCGGUGUCGCGGUGAAAUGCGCAGAUAUCGGGAGGAACACCAGUAGCGAAGGCGGCUCGCUGGGCCAUUCCUGACGCUGAGACGCGAAAGCUAGGGGAGCGAACAGG
This 253-nucleotide ribosomal RNA is filed under the name uncultured bacterium. RNAcentral describes it as "partial 16S ribosomal RNA". It matches the Rfam family "Bacterial small subunit ribosomal RNA", at positions 524 to 776 of the family's 1533-position model. The record is from RNAcentral.